CGCGUAGGCGGAUCGUUAAGUCAGAGGUGAAAUCCCAGGGCUCAACCCUGGAACUGCCUUUGAUACCGGCGAUCUUGAGUAUGAGAGAGGUAUGUGGAACUCCGAGUGUAGAGGUGAAAUUCGUAGAUAUUCGGAAGAACACCAGUGGCGAAGGCGACAUACUGGCUCAUUACUGACGCUGAGGCGCGAAAGCGUGGGAGCAAACA
Molecule: ribosomal RNA, 206 nt
Filed under: uncultured bacterium
Lineage: Bacteria
Description: partial 16S ribosomal RNA
Rfam family: Bacterial small subunit ribosomal RNA
Source: RNAcentral